This 599-nucleotide long non-coding RNA is filed under the name Apteryx owenii (little spotted kiwi). RNAcentral's name for it is "lncRNA (ENSAOWG00000016851.1)". Lineage: Eukaryota; Metazoa; Chordata; Aves; Apterygiformes; Apterygidae. The record is from RNAcentral.
CCCUGCCUAUGCGGCUGGCUCUGAAGUGCUGGGGGAAUCGGACUAAAUAAGAUUUGCCUGUGCUUUGCCCAGACUGGAGUGCCUCUGGAGAGCCGACUUAGCUUAUAUGGAUGUUACCUAGAAGAAAGGAGACUACUUGUUCCAGGCUCCACCAGUGUGACUGUUUUUAUGUUAGACUAUCAUCUACAAAGUGGGAAUAUAAUGGAGCUGAGAUAAGGAAGCAGCUGAUCUUCACCCCCUGCAUGAGAAUUGCAAGAGGCCACAUCAUUGCAUUCCCUCUUGCCUGUGUUCCUACCGGGMUUGUGGUGAUACCGUACCAUAAACUGCAUAUGAUGCUCAAGAGGUUUGACAUCAUCACGGUUCUGAGAGCUUCCUGGCUGGAUUAUGUCUCCCGUACCAUACCACCCUCUUCACACAAUUCCCAUGGUGUGUUUGGUGCCAGAAGGAAGGCUGCAGAGGUGACUGAGCCCUUUUCCUAAAAUCUGCCUUUGAUUUGACAGAAAGCAAAUGUUUCUUGCUAAGUAGAUUCCUUACCUGCUCUGCAAUUCUUAGAGGAAGCCACAACCCACACAAACAAUCCUCCUUGUUUUCCCUCCCCA